GGAAAGGUGCCGGAGUGGCCGAACGGGGCGGUUUGCUAAACCGUUGUCCGCUGUUAUAGGCGGACCGUGGGUUCGAAUCCCACCCUUUCCG
This is a transfer RNA of 91 nucleotides. It matches the Rfam family "tRNA". Rfam says of the family: Transfer RNA (tRNA) molecules are approximately 80 nucleotides in length.